AUGAACGCUGGCGGCGUGCCUAAUACAUGCAAGUCGAGCGAACAGACGAGGAGCUUGCUCCUCUGACGUUAGCGGCGGACGGGUGAGUAACACGUGGAUAACCUACCUAUAAGACUGGGAUAACUUCGGGAAACCGGAGCUAAUACCGGAUAAUAUAUUGAACCGCAUGGUUCAAUAGUGAAAGACGGUUUUGCUGUCACUUAUAGAUGGAUCCGCGCCGCAUUAGCUAGUUGGUAAGGUAACGGCUUACCAAGGCAACGAUGCGUAGCCGACCUGAGAGGGUGAUCGGCCACACUGGAACUGAGACACGGUCCAGACUCCUACGGGAGGCAGCAGUAGGGAAUCUUCCGCAAUGGGCGAAAGCCUGACGGAGCAACGCCGCGUGAGUGAUGAAGGUCUUCGGAUCGUAAAACUCUGUUAUUAGGGAAGAACAAAUGUGUAAGUAACGAUGCACGUCUUGACGGUACCGAAUCAGAAAGCCACGGCUAACUACGU
RNAcentral lists this ribosomal RNA (495 nucleotides) under uncultured bacterium. Its description in RNAcentral is "partial 16S ribosomal RNA". It matches the Rfam family "Bacterial small subunit ribosomal RNA", at positions 29 to 506 of the family's 1533-position model. The record is from RNAcentral.